This 2031-nucleotide long non-coding RNA is filed under the name Coffea arabica (coffee). RNAcentral describes it as "long non-coding RNA (CARA_LNC001944)". The record is from RNAcentral. Lineage: Eukaryota; Viridiplantae; Streptophyta; Magnoliopsida; Gentianales; Rubiaceae.
AACAAAACUCCCUCUCGGCUCUCUCUAUCAUGUGACACUCACCAACACAAUUAACACUCUUUCUUUUCCUCUCUCUCUCUCUCCCUCUCUCGGCCACUCCUUCCCUAGCAGCACACACUACACACAGAAACACACAAUUGCACACACAAGUAAACACUUGAAAUAAAAAGUCAGGAUGAAGACGUUGGGUUCCUCCAAAGUUUCUAGAGUUUGAGAGCAGCACUGCCAUUAUAUAGCAAAGCUAAAGCCGUUGCCAAGGUCCCUUUUAGUAAUCUUUAAGUUCUAGUUCAAGAAAUGGGUUUUUGUAAAGUUUCAAAUUAUUAUUUUUAGUUUGUUAUUUUUUACGCUGUAUCUGUGGGCUUAUUUAUGUUAUACGUCUAAUGAGGAGCAAUUUGGAACAAGUUUGGUAAAGUAUGUGCUUGUUUUGAAUGAGUUUAUGAAAUUGAGAUCUGGUUGUAAAUAGUUAUUUUUGCUACUUUUCACUUCUUUUUUUUUCUUUUUUAAAUACCGAGGACGGAAAUGGAAUCUAUGCAAAAGACUCAGUGGAAGAUGAUAGUUUGGGGUAAAUCUAUCACUGGAAGGCUAUGACGGGCGGUGGUUGGUGGCGGCAAAGGCUGGCAGCACUACCGUUGCCAGUGCUCAUUUCUGCAGUGGCUAGGGUUGAGGAAGAAGAAGAGGGAAAAGGAAAAAGCAGAAACAAAAAAAGGAAAAUCAAGUUUAGUAAAACUACAUAGCAUUGCCCUAGAUCUAAACUACACUGCUCCACUAAAGGGUUGAAAAUGGGUUUUAAAAUCAGAAACUAGAUUUGCAAUUUGGUCCAUCAAUUUCUUGAAACCUCACUAUAGGCCUACAACUUUGAUUCUAUUGCAUCUAGGUCCAUUUUUAAUGUAUUUUGGUCCAUGAACUUUAAUUUUGAUCCCUAAUCUUUUUAAUAAUAUGAUUUUGACCAUUAAAACUCUCUAAUGCUACAAUUAGGUCCCACUAGAAUGAUAAUUUUUCAAUUAGAGUAGUUUGAUUUCUUUAAUUACUAUUUUAUUCCUCAAUUGUGCAUUUUUAUGUGUUUUUGUAUGACUAUUGCAACUAAAUGACUUAGCUUUGGUCUUUUAUUACUAUGAUAUGAUAGUGGUAUCUUUAUUCUUUUUGUUCGUGUUGUGAGUUCUAAAUAGGGAAACCUUAAACUGACACUUUAAAGUGGGUACCCUUCUUGGUUUUACAUUCAAUUAUGUGCUAUUUUGUGUUUAUAUGUUCUAAGUUGUUUUAAUUUCUUAGUUUCCCAUUACAAUACCUUGUUAGUCAUAAUUUUACUCUUAAAAUGCUUGUUUAUUUUACUCUAAUUUUAUCAUGUUCUAUUCAUUUAAAUAAAUAAAAUAGUUCACUUAUUUUUUUCAUUUUCCCUUUGUUAGAUUGCAGUUAAGACCUCACAUAUAACAGAUAGGUUUAUUUUUCAUCAUUUCCCUGUCAGAUUGUAGUUAUGUUCUCUAAUGUAAUAGAUAAGGCCUGUGUGUGUUACGUGCUCUUAUGUGCUUACAUAUUUGCAUGCUUUCUGAUAGAAUGGUUAUUUGGCGUAUUUUGCACUGCUAUUCUGUCCUAAUUUUGGCUAUUCACGGUACUAAGAAUUGGAAUUUCACUCAUAUUCGAUAUUUGUGGGAAUUGUAGGUGGUAGGCAUGAAAAAUGAUCUCGCAGGGUGAAUUUCCAGAAGACUUCCCGUUCCAAGGCGUGGCCACGCCUUAGAAGGUGGACGAAACCGAAAGACGGACCGUGGUCCAUGUGGACCAAGCGCAUGGGAUCAAAACUCCAAAAGGGAAAUAGCUUUUGUUAAAUCAACUGGGCCAGACGUUGCUUCCAAAAGAAAAAAAACCUCCUGCGGCGGCUAUAAAGAGAUAGGAAAAAGCAAGAUUCAAGAAUCAUCUGUUUUGGAGGCUUAGUUUUCUUUUCCUACGUUUCUUGGCGGUCAGACGCUUUUUCUCUUCUUUCGCUUUCCGUCAGCCGCAAUUGGAUUUUUAGCUUUAAAUCUCCUUUUGUUCUUUUUU